CGACCAUGUUGUACUUCUUUUCGUGGCUGGCGGGUGACGAACGGAAUAGGGUAGCGGUGAGGAGAGGAAGAGAAUAGGUCUAGCGGCAGGGUCGCACCAGGAGAAGGAGAAGAGGUAGGUUGGGUCGGUCUUCGAACUAGACCGGCAAGCGGGGUCAGCGGCCAGGGCACCCAGUCGUCGGAGCGGAGGUGGGCUAAGUCAGCGCAGGAGGAAGGGUUCCGAAAGAGGCUAGACGGUUGGGUGGUGGGGUGGUGCGGAGCGAGAGAGACGGGGGAGGAAGGGGUGCGUCGCGGCUACCCCGUCCCGGAGGCGCCGGCGGCCGCGGGAGACGCUGAGGAGAAGAGGUACUAAGCGGGCGAUAAUGAGGAGAGGAGGUGCUAAGCACCACUACAACCCCACCGUAGAAGAAGCUCGCCCUCCACACGGAGCAGGAGCGUGUACGAGCCGGCGCGGUAGCCUCGGGGGGCGUCCAACGGACGGGCAGCGGGAGUGGAAGUGAGAAGAAGGGGAAAGUUAAGACGAGAUAGGAGAGACUUAUAGAGGGGGGGAGAGAGAGAUAAGUUCACAUCUCCGUCACGAGGCGGUGGGCUACGACAAGAAGCGUAGCAGGGCGCGAGGGUUUCGACCCUUGGCCGAGGGGCGGAGGUUCAAGAGCCGUAGCUGCAGGGCACGACGGACGUAGGAGCGGUUCGGGCUGAGCGUCGGCACAUCGGGCUCGAGCGGUUCCGCGAAGUUGAGGCGGCGGCGCGGUAGAAGAAGUCCGCGAGCUCGUGCUCGUGUUCGAGCGGGCGCGGGGUGGAGAGAGACGGCGAGGCAGGCGGCGGGCGCCACGGCACUGGGCAGUGACGGCACGGGACGUAGUGAGACAUCGGCGUGGCGGACCCAGCUACGCCAGUCGCGAGGGUUCGGCAACUGGGGCGCGGUCCCCUGCUGAUAAAGGAGGGUACGCACGCGCGGGCACGAGGUCGGGAGGGCAGGGGUACGACGGCCGUGUGAGCGCGACGCCCCGGCAUAGGUCGGACACGGACCUGCUGCCUUCGGGGGGGUGACAGGCACGCGAGGCCGGUCGAGGGACAGCGCGAGCUCUGGAGGAGCUCAGAAGGGCGGCUCCGGAAGGGCCACUGGUCGGAAACUGAACCCAGAGGACAGGCGGAGCCGCGCCUGCGGGCGGUGCUGCGGCCACCGUUCGCCGCCGCGCACGGGCCGCUACCUCUUGCCGUCCUAUUCGCCACUCUCCGCGCCACCACUCGGUCAGGUUAUUCUCUAUUCCCAACGCCCAUAUUAAAGAUUGUUUACGUCCCCCAAAAAUGCGUUUUUGUUUUGUAAAAAGAUUUAACGGUGAUUUUGUCCCUGACGCCCAACUAAAUACAUUUGGCUCCCCGAAAAAACAUUUUGACGGUCCUUUUUUUAAGUUAACGCCCUGCUUUGAUUCUUAUAGUGGAACGAAAUUAUCAUCCAUAUCUAUAUCUAUUAUUAUUGGGAAAAUAAUAACGGAGAUCCCGUAUAAAGGUUGUUCUUGCUGCAGCAGGUAUCUAAUUACAUACCCUUGUGACCCGGUUGGGUGAAAUGUCCUGUCCUCCCAACUGGCGACCCGCUACGUGACGUGCUCAUCCGGUCCUCCUUGUUCUCAUCUUCUCCUGACAUCGGACAUCCACUCUCUUCUACUACGGUAACGGUAGAACUGACUUCCAAGCCGUAGAUUUCUACGAACCGUUGGUCUUGAGACUUCGAUUUGUGGUGAACUUCCAUGGACCUUUAUGUAAUGAACGACUUCGACGUGUAGAAUGCGGGGUCCUCCUCCGGUUUAAGUAUAAGGCUAGUACACUAGAUUUAUGAUUUCGAAGGAACGACCUAGAUUCGUAUGAAGGCAUCGUCGGCCUCGACUUGUAAAUCUCUCUGGUAUAACAUCGUUCGAACGAAAGGUCCCUGGACCACAAAGACGUUUGGGUUGCUAUCCGCACAAACUUUUUUUUUUCCAGUCAAGCACAACGUUAAAGUACUUUUGAACGAAUACGCCACAAUAACGUGACCAUGUUUUUUACAGUACCAGAAAAAGAAGGACAAAUCUUGCGGUGGAUGGAUACUUAAUGCUGAGACCCGUACCGUCUUCAGUGGUAUUAAAAACAAGUCGUUGAUCUAAAGUAGGGUUCUACACGGUAGAGAGAUUAAACUGAGACUCGUACAUUAUGUCAAUCAAUUAGUACACCCAACCAGAACACAGAAGGUCGACGUUAACUUAAUCAGAUUCGUUAACUCCAGGAUGAUUAAUUAAUUCGACCGAUAAACGAACGAAGAACAUGGAUGCUGUACGAGAGACUAAAAGAAAUAGCGUCAUACGUUCGAAGAUUCGCGGCCUAACUACAGCAUGAUUGUUUAAUUCCACCAACUAAUGAACGAAAAAAAAGAGUCAUAACGUUCGAAAUGACACUUGAUUUUCCUUAAUUUUCCUUCCUCGGUCAUACGGAUGUCAACUAAGUGACUACAAGUUUAAUUGACGUCAUCGAAUAAAAAGGAUGUGGAAGUAACUUUCAAGGAAACGGUAUAGAUUAAUAGAUUUCAAAAGGAACAUGGUAAAAGGUACUCUAAUUACAUUAACCCUUAUGGUCACGAACAAACUUAGUAAAUCAAUUAAUUAAAACAUCUAUUUUGAACAUAAAUAUACAAAAUCUUAAUGAUAAUAGGACCAUUUUACUGGUGUUCACUUUCCCAACAUUUCUAAUUAAUAAGAAACACCUUCGUAAUAACCAGAUUAAUUAUCUACAUGUACGUAGUUAUUACAACAACUCGAAAUCAACUAAGAUAUCCCAGCAUGAUAAGCGUUUCAAGAUAAAACUCUUUUUUAUCGUUUAAAAACGAACACCAUCGAUUUACCGCGCGGGCGACAUCGUUCACUCACGGGUAGCUUUAGUGGGACUCGUAUAAACGCGACUAAAAGUACUAACGAGAAGACGGUCGUUGUUACAAGGAGCGUGAAGCUGGUGUGUUGACAUACAAGUACAAGGUCUCAGGAAUAAGUAUCAAUUAAAGUUAGUGUUUCACUGUUUACGGUCAGAUAAUCAAUUGUACACAUAGAGGCAAAGAAGAUUCAAAGUUAGCUGGAUGAGACUUCAACAAGGAUUCUGUCACGGAGUUCGUUUCCCUUACUCGGAGUCAAUCACAUAGAUCGCUCAAGCGCUAGGAAACAACCCUAUUUGUAAACACGUUCUCGUUCAGAGCAGUGACAACCAACAAGCAUGACAACGAACUAUUAAGAUUAAAAAUGAAGUCAAGUAUUCCGUUACAUCAAUACGAACUGCGUGCUAUACUUCUGACGGUAAAACGGAAAACUGGAACCAAAGAAGGAGGUCAUUCAUUUACGUGUAUGAAGAAAAGAUUUAAUCUCGUAUACUGAACAACUAGCUAGAGACUUGAGUCAUUAUUAUAAUUCGGAAUUAGACAAAUAACACGUCUGUUCUACUCUUUCUUUACGAUGGGUUCUUAUACAUGAAAUAUUUGUAAAGUUGACAUUAGACCUUAUUUUAAUUUAUUUAUUCCUUUGUCAUAUAAGUAUAUAGAAAAAACAUGAAACUACCAAAGUGUGGUGUUCAAGGAUCUACCAUUAACACGACGUAUACAGACGAGAGAAACAAAAAGACUUGUCCAUCCAAGGCCUUCUACAGUACUUCUUAAAGAAACUCUCUUAAACGCACUCGACUAAACAUCGUCACGCCUUCCACUCGAACCGACGGCCGUCGUCGAGGAAACCGACUAGACGCCGCUACGUCUUCAACCCAACCUUUUUUCGUGCUGGCCGACGAGACUUCACCCAGCAUCCCUCUCGAAGCAUUCUCUAUCCCUCCCUCGAGAUAACCGGGCACGUACUGUAGGUUGGGUUACCGUAGUACGGGACCAUCCGUACCAACGUACCGGUGCCCCUCUUACCUCGUUCAUCGCACACUCCUCAAAUUCUUUACCCCUGUUCCCUGUCAAAUCAAUUAAUUCAGAUACAAUCAAAGUUCAAAAUAGGAACAACGCCAUUUUUUAAUUCCAACCUAAUUGGUGGUACAUGUAGAAAUUAAUGAAAAUUUAUUCUUUAUAUUAGUUUUAUAAGAAAACUGUAGUAUUUUAAAUAUAUUAAACAUGUUCAUGUACUUCCACCUUGUCCUCCUUCCCACCCUCUUCUAAUCCGGGGCAAACCAUUGUUUCAUAAAAGAUACAUAAGGGUAUUAUGACGUCAAAAAAUAUUAUGACAUCAAAAAUAAUGUUUCCCAACAAACCGACAGAGAUUUUUAACAUUAGAAUUAUGACGUCAAAAACCGUUUGGUGUUAUAAAAGAGACGUAGUUUUUUUUCUUGGUGUAUGGAGAAAAAAAAUUUGAUUCGAGCGACUCUUUUCUCUCAGGGAGCGAGUAUGGAAGAAGAGUUGUGCGGAGUACAGGUGCUGGCAAAAUAGUCCUAGAAGACGAAUCACUAAAUCAAUCGAGCGAAGGUAAACAACGAGGUUUAAUGUCGGUUGGUGUUUUAGCAAAACUUCUGCAACAACGGCAGGCCUAUCGGUCAAUCUUAUAUACAGAAGAUGCGGCACACGUAUCGGUAAGAACCACGUACCGGCUCAUCAACGUAUUUUACCGAUCGAUUGAUCUUUUCGUGCACACAGACGUC
RNAcentral lists this ribosomal RNA (4640 nucleotides) under Triticum aestivum (bread wheat). RNAcentral describes it as "partial small subunit ribosomal RNA". The record is from RNAcentral. Lineage: Eukaryota; Viridiplantae; Streptophyta; Magnoliopsida; Poales; Poaceae.